This 2900-nucleotide ribosomal RNA is filed under the name human gut metagenome. RNAcentral describes it as "bacterial LSU rRNA". It matches the Rfam family "Bacterial large subunit ribosomal RNA". The record is from RNAcentral.
UUAAGUAAGGAAGGGCGUACGGCGAAUGCCUUGCCACUCGAAACUGAAGAAGGACGCGCCAAACUGCGAAAAGCUCCGUGAAGCUGUAAGGAAGCGAAGAAGCGGAGGUGUCCGAAUGGGGGAACCCGGCAGCAGACAUGAGCUGUCAUCUGCAGGUGAAUACAUGGCCUGCAAGAGAGGUACCCGGCGAACUGAAACAUCUAAGUAGCCGGAGGAAAAGAAAACAACAGUGAUUCCCUGAGUAGCGGCGAGCGAAAGGGGAGAAGCCCAAACCGGUUGAAGGACCGGGGUUGAAGGACCAUGACAUGGCAAGAACGAGGAUAGGAGAACGGGAUCGAAAGCCCGGCCGAAGAAGGUGAAAGCCCUGUAACCGAAAUCCGAGUAAAGCCUAAUGGGAUCCUGAGUACGGCGAGACACGAGGAAUCUUGUCGGAAGCAGGCGGGACCAUCCGCCAAGGCUAAAUAUAAACGAGUGAGCGAUAGUGAACCAGUACCGUGAGGGAAAGGUGAAAAGAACCGCGGGAGCGGAGUGAAAGAGAACCUGAAACCGUAUGCCUACAAGAAGUCAGAGCCCGUUAAGGGGUGAUGGCGUGCCUUUUGUAGAAUGAACCGGCGAGUUGCGACAGACUGCGAGGUUAAGGAGGAAAGACCGGAGCCGAAGCGAAAGCGAGUCUUAAGAGGGCGAAAGUAGGAUGUUGCAGACCCGAAACCGGGUGAUCUAGCCAUGAGCAGGUUGAAGUUGAGGUGAAACUCAAUGGAGGACCGAACCGACUACCGUUGAAAAGUUAGCGGAUGACUUGUGGCUAGGGGAGAAAUUCCAAUCGAACCCGGAGAUAGCUGGUUCUCCCCGAAAUAGCUUUAGGGCUAGCGUCGGAAAGAACCUUAGUGAAGGUAGAGCACUGAAUGUGUGAUGGCCCCAUCCCGGGGUACUGAAUACAAUCAAACUGCGAAUGUCAUUAAGGAUGUCCGGCAGUCAGACUGUGAGUGAUAAGGUCCAUGGUCAAGAGGGAAACAGCCCAGACCGCCAGUUAAGGUCCCAAAAUACAGGCUAAGUGGAAAAGGAUGUGGGGAUGCCCAGACAACUAGGAGGUUGGCUCAGAAGCAGCCAUCCUUUAAAGAGUGCGUAACAGCUCACUAGUCGAGUGACCCUGCGCCGAAAAUGUACCGGGGCUAAGCCUGAUACCGAAACUGCGGAUUGUAGGAAACUAUAGUGGUAGGGGAGCGUUGUAUACGAGCAGAAGCCGUACCGUGAGGAGCGGUGGAUUGUAUAGAAGUGAGAAUGCCGGUGUGAGUAGCGAGAUGUAGGUGAGAAUCCUACACACCGAAAGCCCAAGGAUUCCAGGGGAAGGUUCGUCCGCCCUGGGUAAGUCGGGACCUAACGCGAGGCCGAAAGGCGUAGUGGAUGGAAAGCAGGCGAAAGAUUCCUGCACCCGUAUAUGGAGCGAAGGAGUGACGGAGACGGAUAGUGUGACCCUCUUAAUGGAUUGAGGGCGAAGCGAAGCGGCUGGUUACCAGGCAAAUCCGGUAACCAAAAGGCUAGAGCGUGACAGGUAAGCGAAAUCUUAGGAAAGUAGCGAAGCACAUGAUGACGGCUUCCAGGAAAAGCUUCUGGCAAUGCAUAUGCGGCCCGUACCAAAACCGACACAGGUGGGCAGGGAGAGAAUCCCGAGGUGAGCGAGAGAACUGUUGCCAAGGAACUCGGCAAAAUGACUCCGUAAGUUAGCGAGAAGGAGUGCUUAAGCAAUUAAGCCGCAGUGAAGAGGCCCAAGCGACUGUUUAACUAAAACACAGCUCUCUGCGAAGUCGCAAGACGAAGUAUAGGGGGUGACACCUGCCCGGUGCUGGAAGGUUAAGAGGAUCUGUUAAGAGCGAUCUGAAGCAGUGAUCCGAAGCCCCAGUGAACGGCGGCCGUAACUAUAACGGUCCUAAGGUAGCGAAAUUCCUUGUCAGGUAAGUUCUGACCCGCACGAAAGGUGUAACGAUUUGGGCGCUGUCUCGGCAGCAGACUCGGUGAAAUCUUAGUACCUGUGAAAAUGCAGGUUACCCGCAACUAGACGGAAAGACCCCAUGGAGCUUUACUGCAGCCUGAUAUUGAAUUCUGGUCAUACAUGUACAGGAUAGGUGGGAGACAAAGAGACGUGCACGCCAGUGUACGAGGAGUCGACGUUGGGAUACCACUCUUGUGUGACCGGGGUUCUAACCUGGUAUCGAGAACAGGUACGGGGAGAGUGUCAGGUGGGCAGUUUGACUGGGGCGGUCGCCUCCCAAAGAGUAACGGAGGCGCCCAAAGGUUCCCUCAGCGCGGCCGGAAAUCGCGCGAAGAGUGUAAAGGCAGAAGGGAGCUUGACUGAGAGCCAAACACGGCGAUCAGGUACGAAAGUAGGGCUUAGUGAUCCGGUGGCAUCCAAGUGGAAGGGCCAUCGCUCAACGGAUAAAAGCUACCCUGGGGAUAACAGGCUAAUCUCUCCCAAGAGUCCAUAUCGACGGGGAGGUUUGGCACCUCGAUGUCGGCUCAUCACAUCCUGGGGCUGAAGUCGGUCCCAAGGGUUGGGCUGUUCGCCCAUUAAAGUGGUACGUGAGCUGGGUUCAGAACGUCGUGAGACAGUUCGGUCCCUAUCCAUCGCGGGCGCAAGAGAUUUGAAGGGGGCUGCUCCUAGUACGAGAGGACCGGAGUGGACGAACCAAUGGUGUACCAAUUAUCUCGCCAGAGGUAUAGUUGGGUAGCUACGUUCGGAAAGGAUAAACGCUGAAAGCAUCUAAGCGUGAAACCAGCCUUAAGAUGAGAUCUCUCAUAGAGUAAUCUAGUAAGACACCUUGGAGAAGACGAGGUUGAUAGGUCGGGAGUGUAAGUACAGUAAUGUAUUCAGCGGACCGAUACUAAUAUGUCGAGGGCUUGACUUA